This 422-nucleotide ribosomal RNA is filed under the name uncultured bacterium. RNAcentral describes it as "bacterial SSU rRNA". It matches the Rfam family "Bacterial small subunit ribosomal RNA", at positions 355 to 774 of the family's 1533-position model. The record is from RNAcentral.
UAAGGAAUAUUGGUCAAUGGAGGCAACUCUGAACCAGCCAUGCCGCGUGCAGGAAGACGGCCCUCUGGGUUGUAAACUGCUUUUAUUCGGGAAUAAACCUGCUUACGUGUAAGUAGCUGAAUGUACCGAAGGAAUAAGGAUCGGCUAACUCCGUGCCAGCAGCCGCGGUAAUACGGAGGAUCCAAGCGUUAUCCGGAUUCAUUGGGUUUAAAGGGUGCGUAGGCGGCUUAUUAAGUCAGGGGUGAAAGACGGUGGCUCAACCAUCGCAGUGCCCUUGAUACUGAUGAGCUUGAAUGAACUAGAGGUAUGCGGAAUGUGACAAAUAGCGGUGAAAUGCAUAGAUAUGUCACAGAACACCGGUUGCGAAGGCAGCUUACUAUGGAUUUAUUGACGCUGAGGCACGAAAGCGUGGUAAUCAAACA